Molecule: long non-coding RNA, 11269 nt
Organism: Vicia villosa (hairy vetch)
Lineage: Eukaryota; Viridiplantae; Streptophyta; Magnoliopsida; Fabales; Fabaceae
Exons: 2
Source: RefSeq, a predicted model, not a curated record
UUACAUUUUAGGUUAGUUUUUUAAUUGGUUAAAUAUAAUCAUAAAAACUCAAUGAGAAUAAUUCCUUCUAUUUGGGCUUUUAGUUAUUUUUAAUUAAUUUUGGUCCAUCAAGUUUAACCUAAUUUUGUAUAUUAUAAAUAGGACAACCUUUACACAACUGAAAAAAGAGGAACGAACCCUUAUUUUUCCAAAUCUCACGAACAAAAAGAACACAGUCUGUACAUAUUUUCUCACAUACUAACAUACACGUAUUGUUGUUAACCCUUGAUUUGAACCUUUCAUCAUCCUCACUAACCUCUGUUCAUAGAAUACAAACCAACUCCACCUAUUCUCUACACAAUAAAAAAGCAAGAGAUAUCCACAUUCUUUUUUUUCUAAUUUCUAACAAACAUUACUGAUUUCAGUUCUAUCAUUAACCUUUUUAUUAUGAAUUUCUCUUCAUUACUAACACCUUAAUACUUUGAAUUUUAGUUUGUUCCCUUUUUGCAGAUUAAAGAUGGUACGCAUACAGAGAACAACAUUGUUUUGUUCAUCACCGCACAACCGAGUCGCUGGAGCGCCGCCCAUCAUCACUGCUGUCGAAAUCAUUUGUUGCGGCUGAAGCAACCACCGCCAAACUAUCAUCUUCAUCACUAUAUUUUUUAUCACUAACAACUUACCAAUCCACUUUUCAGGCAUAGUAUUUUUUGCAGGAGAAUAGUCAUUGUAUUUGGAUCCAAAAGAUCAACAAAAUUGCAAGCAGAGUGAAAGAGGAAAUCAAAUCAUAUGAGCGUCGUUGUUUCCCAAUACCGGAUGCCGAGGUUACGACCAUCUCCGCUCUGAUAACGGCCAGCCUUCACCGGAGAUAAUCUCAGCCAUCGGAAUCCUACGACGAAGCUUCUCCGUCGAAGCUGCACCAGCCACGCACUCCGAUUCAGAUCUCGGCCGCCUCCGCGACCACGCUCAGGCCGCAACCACCUCCGACCACGCAAGACCUCCGCUCCGACGAGAAAGCGCUGCGCCGGGAAGCAAACCGUCGACGUAUCUCCACCACGCCAUCCGCACCGCUCAGCCGCACCUCCUCCAACAACCUCAAAUCACCGCUUGCGAAGUAUAACGGAGGAACACGCUUCACGACCGCCACAGGGUUACUCUUCAAAUACACUCCGACAUUCCGACUAUGCGUCACGCCCUUCCCGAAGCUAAGUACCCUAUUUAUUUUUAAAAGUCUAUUUUGUUUCCUUUUGAUUUUAGGGUUUGCCCUUAACCUUUCUUGAACUGUGCAUACAUUCACCUAUUACUUUGCCUUUGCCAUUUUCAGGGUUAACCCCGAGGCUUACCGCCAACCAUGUCAGAUCAAAUUCAAAGCUAAGUACUUAUAUGUUAUUGAUUUUGAAUUUCUUUACCUUUUCAUUUUUAGGGUUAUCAAUGUUUGCCUCCGAACCGAUAAUGCACUCACCCUAUUUUGCUUUCUGUUUUUUCACUUUUUUCAGGGUUUGCCAAUUGUCAAAGCUUCGAAUACCGGUAACCCUAAAACUUUACUCUAAUUAUUACUUAUGUCAAACCCUAUUAAGGGAUCCGCUGGUUACAAUUUCCCUCCCCCUUUAUUGCUUUAUAUACUGUGUGGUUAGUAAUUUAGGGAGUGCAAAUUUAAACUGGAUUAGAGUCACUAAUUACAAGAUAAAUAACUGAAUUGAACCACAUGAAUGAUUGAUGCACACACGCACUCUUUUGGGGUAACCUCUCUGUUGCCUUGUUGCCUGUUGCCUUUGUGUUUUUUUGCAGAAUAAGCCAUGUCCCUCGAAUACGAGGAUACCUCAGCCAUGCUGCCUCGAUAAAUAAAGGUCAUGCGACCCUAAAUGAUGCUGCCUUCGAUACACAAAUAUGACCUCGACCCUCGGAAGUUGCCUACGGAAAGGCUGAGGUAUCCUCUGGUUGCCUACGAAUAAGGCUUAUUCUGAUCCUUACCUUAGACUACCUGCCCUUCUAUGGCAUGGGACAGUCUUAUGGCAAAGGAUGUUUCGACGACCCUUUAACAUCCAAACGAAAGGCUUCCUGCCCUCUUAUGGCAAGGACUGAUCCUUUCAACCUGAAAGGCUAAAAAGAGACCUAUCAUCUGAGUUUAAGGUAAUUGCCCCUAAUUGCCUUGCCAUGCUCUAUUUUCUAUAUUCUUUCUCAAAAUUCUUCAAAAACUGGCUACGCUCAUUUACGAGCUAAAGUCCAUUUUUUCCUCUUUCAUCUAUAUUUUCUGAAAACGAGCAAGCAAAGCAAUUAAGAGCCCAUGGAAAACCAUGGAUGCAAAGGGUGCCUUACACCUUCCAUUUGCAUAAAUUACCCCCCGAACUUAGAUUUCUUUAAAAGGUUUUUUUCUGUUUCUUUUAGCCUUUCUGAAUUUGUUUGGAUAAAAUAAAAGUCGGUGGCGACUCUUGCUUUACCGCACAUUUCGAUUAUAAAAGUCAGUUCACCGUAUUACAGAACUGGCGACUCUGAUGGGGAUAUUUUUCUUAUAAAAGAAGGGUUACCUUAAAAGUUUAGGAUUCAUUUUAAAUGUUUUCUAUUGUUUGCUUUGUUUGUUUUAUUUUUCAGGGGCGUUUUGGGAAUUAACUGAAGGACGAAUCCUAUUCCCGGAUUCAAGUACAUCUAAGAUAGGAAGUGGCAUAGUCAUGGCGACCUCCCUUGUGUAUGCUUGGGAUUGGUCAAUAUGAGAGUUCACGCUUAAGUUAGGCCUCCAUGGGUGUUUGCAUGCUUCUCUUGUAUGAGGGAGGUUCGUGCCGAUGUCUGUGGGUGAGUCGGAGCUUAAGGACCUUUAGUUACCUUUAACCCAUCCUGACUUUUAGGAACGUAGUGGGGGGACUACUCUUGAUGUAUGUUGAGAGCAUAGUCGCUACCCGAUACUACAACUCAGAUAGGUUCUUUCUCAAAGUAUCAUUGCAUGGUAUGUAUGUAUCAUGUUCGAGGGUGCUUUAGGAGGGCUGACAAUUCUGAGUCACUUGGUAGAACCCGUUGCUGAAAUCUCCUUAUCCAUAGAAAUAUCCUUGGGAAGGACACCCGAUCAGACUCCAUGCAAGCCUUAAGCCAAAAAUUGUGUGACUUGUGUGACUUGUUCGUGUUUACUACUAACCUUCAUUUCCUCGCAGGUUUUAUUGAAAGGACUUGUUCGUCCUUACUAUCUCACACCAUGACUAAUGAACUGCAUUUGCAUAACAUCAUGACAUCAUAAGCAUAAGAUGAUCAACUAACCCUUUCAAGGAUCUUAGGAAUUUAGGGCGCACAAUUUCAGGUGCUCUUAUCAAAGACCGAAUUCCUAUCUAGGAGCAAGAGGAUUUAUUUUCCUCUGGUCACACACCUUCCAAUUCAAAGACUCGGUAUCUUGCAAGGGGCAAGAGGAUUUACUUUCCUCUGGCCAUGUAUCUUCAAAUUCAGAAGCAUCCCGAAUCAGAAACGAUGACCCACUCGAUAUGGUGAGCUUAAUUCUCAAAGAAGGAUGUUCAAAGACAAGAGUCAGAAUUCUUCAAACAAAUAUGCGACCAAAUCACUUUCCAAUGUUGCUAACUAAAUUCCUUCAAGAUCCUUGAAAACAUUUCAUUUGCAUUCAUGACAUUGCAUAUUUCUAACUUCGUUUUCAGGUUCCGCCUUGACAAUCAUUCCUCUCAGAUAUAAUCGAGCUGGAGAUUCAUUCUGACAAGCCUUUUUACAUUCCAAAACUUCGACAAAUAACUCAUCGACUCUAACGAACAAACAUUCUCUAUCAGAUAUGGUCUAAUAUACGACCCGUUCCGGUAUUCUUAAUCAGAUAUGGUCUAAUAUACGACCCGUUCCGGUAUUCUUAAUCAGAUAUGGUCUAAUAUACGACCCGUUCCGGUAUUCUCAAUCAGAUAUGGUCUAAUAUACGACCCGUUCCGGUAUUUUUAGUCAGAUAUGGUCUAAAUGUAUGACUCGUUCUGGCAUUAUCCAUCAGAUAUGGUCUAAUAUACGACCCGUUCCGGUAUUUUUAGUCAGAUAUGGUCUAAAUGUAUGACUCGUUCUGGCAUUAUCCAUCAGAUAUGGUUUAAUGUAUGACUCAUUCUGGUAUUCUCCUUCAGAUAUGGUUUAAUGAAUAACUCGUUCUGAUAUCCUUCCUCAGAUAUGGUCCAAUGUAUGACUCAUUCUGACACCCUCCAACAGAUAUGGUCUAAUGUACGACUCGUUCUACUAAUUCCAACAGAUAUGGUCUAAUGUACGACUCGUUCUGCUAUUCCUCAACAGAUAUGGUCUAAUGUAUGGCUCGUUCUGACAUUCCUCUGCAGAUAUGGUCUAAUGUAUGGCUCGUUCUGACAUUCCUCUGCAGAUAUGGUCCAAUGUAUGACUCGUUCUGACAUUCCUCUGCAGAUAUGGUCUAAUGAAUAACUCGUUCUGACAUCCUUCAACAGACAAGGUCUAAAUGUAUGACCCGUUUCCCUAAUCACGAACAAUGUUGUGCACAAUCUGAAAGGUCGAACCGAACACAACCAAACUGUGGGGACAAUUCUGAUCUCUACAAUGGUUCCACAACAAAGACGCAAGUCAGAUGCACCUAAGCGUCGAUUCACCCAGAUCAAUAUGUCACUGGCUCAAGCAUUAUAACACCUACUGAGGACGGAGUUGAUCACCUUAAAGGAUCCCCCUAAGAACCUUAGUACUUCUGCUCGUAGCUAUGAUCCUAAUGUGAGGUGUGCAUACCACUCUGAUAGUCCUGGUCAUGAUACAAAUAGCCGCUGGUCAGUGAAGAACAAGAUUCAAGACAUGAUCGAUGCUGGAGAAGUUGAAUUCAACCAUCCGAGAACUCCUGUGGUGAUCACCGCUCCUAUGCCUAGUCACGACAAGACUGAUUAAUGUCUAAGUGGAUGAACUUUUAAUCAUUAGAUUUACUUUCAUGCGCAAAUUUUAUUCUGUUUGUUUAAACAUUCGAAUCAUGAUAGACAUUAUCUGUUUUAAUAAUUAUCAUCAGUGCAUUGCAUAUGUUUGUCUUGAAUACAUUAUUUCGUUAUCACUCAUUUUAAAUUGCGUAUUUACUUUGCAUAUGUUUUGUGCUUAUUCAACUCCUGCUAAGCUGUAUACCUUUUAAGGGAGGAUGACGAAAACGAUACCGCAACCUCAUACAGUAUGCUUUUGAGCGGACUAUGCUGACGAUGUACAGGCAUUGUUUCAAUUUCUAAACAGUGGAGAUAUAAGGAUGUUAAUCCCUCGUUAACCCCUUUGAGCCUAAGAAGUAGAAGUUUUCUUUCUUGUACUAAUUAAAACCCUUGAUCAUAACCUGGGGCAGGGUAGUUCUCAGUUAAUUUGGCUGUGCAUUCUAUUUUAAGAGAAUCAUUCAGUACACCUUUCAACAAAGGUUUCAAUCAUAAACGUUCAACCAUACACAUCAAAGAAGUGUUGGAGAUGUCAAUCAAAAGACAAUGAUGGUUCAUCAAUCAUUAAGCAACGCAGUCAAUAUCUUUCAAAAGAAAAAAAAAUGAAAAAACAUAUAUACAAAGAAAAGCCUGCUAAGUCAAAAAUCAAAAGACGACUUAGGCAAAAUCAAGGCAUCCCGCUGACUGUAAUCUCAGAAAUAAACAGUUCAGGCAAAAGUUAGGGAUAUCAAAAAGAUGAAAAAAGAGAAGUCAAUAUACAACACAAUGUUGUGACUACCAAAGGAAGAAGCGACUGCCAUCUCAAAAGCUUUCCUUGCUUGUGAACCAUCAUCAUUAUCAAAGGUGCAAAUCCAAAAGUCUCUUGGAACCUGAAUGCACAAGUUGAAUUAACUGAGCUUAGGAUCGAAGAUCAUCACGAAGAGGGGUGGGUACAAUCAAUUUUUGAGCCUUUAUCCUUCGUUUCUUAAACCGUGAACCAAGCCACGUUAUAACCCUUAAAAGUCCUAACUGAAGCAUGGUUAGUUCGAAAGCAUACUGUCACAAAAAAGGUAUCCUGACUCCUUAAGGUUUACCACAAAUGCUGAGUUGACACUUCGUUUUUUACAAACAUCACGUUUUUAUAAACAUCAUGCUUUUACAUAUCCAAUUUUAAUGUUUUUCAACAAACUCAGGACAGACAUAUGCAUUGCAUCUCAUGAAUUCAUUAUUAAACAUAUUCUGCUACAUAAUUUCAAAUGUUAGCAUCAGAAAGAACUUGCACAUGAUACAACUAAUGACUGAAAGUUAUCCCGACAAACAAAAUCACUCCAAGAAGCCAUGUCUCUUACGUAUACAAGGGGCAUGACAUGUUUUGCCCAACCAAUCUGAGGCAAUCAAGUCAAGAUUCCAAGAAUCUCUCAAAUGACAAACAGUCAAAGGCAUAUAUCCCAAGUGGGUUUCAUACUAUUUCCCGAUCAAUCUGGGUCAAUCAAGUCAAGAUUCCGAGAAUCUCUCAUGGAUGCUCGAACAAUCAGGGGCAUGCAUCCAAGUAUAUCUAAAGCUACUCCCCAAUCAACGUGAGACAUUGUCAUGAGCCUAUGAUUACUGGGGGCAUAUCGCCCAUAGUGAACAUCUCAUAAAGUCCUCGCGAGGCGAAUCUUUCCAAAGUUCCCGCUAACUAGGGCAAAUCUAUGCAAGUCCAGUUCAACAUCUUGAUCAACACUCAGUGGCGUGUCUUGAAUCGAGUAGUAAGUUACUAUGAUACUGGGGGCAACUUUCAAGACGUCCACAUCUCCCCACAGAGUCAGGUUCAUAAGAUCAUAUCCCCACAAAGUAAUCAUUAAGAUGAUAUCUUCAAAAGUUCUCGUCCCGACACAGAUAUGGAUCCCCAACAGAGUUGACAUCUUCAACACCACCGACACUUUGUUCCUCUCCAACAUGGCCUACUAAUAUCUUUCAUCCCCAGUCAGGAUCCAUCAAAUUACUAUUCAUCCCCAAGCAGAAGUCAUAAAUCCCCAGCUAAACAUCUUCAAGACGAAAUCAAACAUCAAAAUCACAAAGACCUGGGAAUUUAUUUUCUCGACUAAAUCAUAUUUGCAUAUCAUAUGACACAAACAUAUUCAUACAUCAUAUACAUCACUGCAUAACAAAUCCAUAACAUACAAAGUUUCUCAUUUAUUUUGAGAUACUCAUUACAUAAACACAUGCAUCACAACAUAAGAGAACUAACCUCUACUUUUCAGGAUACCACUAUCUCCAUUUACAAGAGUUAAGUCGACACCUCUGACGGUUCCUUAACAAUCUAUUUUCAAGUAUUAAGUCGAUACCUUUGACGGUUCCUUAAUAUAUCAAGAGUUAAGUCGACACCUUUGACGGUUCCUUAACGACACACUUCAGAUAUAAGUCGACACCUUUGACGGGUCCUUAUACAAUCUAUCUACAUAUCUGAGUCGAUACCUUUGACGGUGCCUCAAUGAUAUGCUUCAGAGUUAAGUCGAUACCUUUGACGGUUCCUUAACAACCCGCAUCAAGAGUUAAGUCGACACCUUUGACGGUUCCUUAACGACAUACUUCAGAUAUAAGUCGACACCUUUGACGGUUCCUUAUACAAUCUAUCUACAUAUCUGAGUCGAUACCUUUGACGGUGCCUCAACAAUAUGCUUCGAAUUUAAGUCGAUACCUUUGACGGUUCCUUAAAUAACCCAACACAGAUUUGAGUCGAUACCUUUGACGGUUCCUCAACAUUCAAAAGAGGGAAGACAGCAAAAGCAGAAAUUGCGUAACAAUCUAUACUCCAACAGCUAUCAGAUGGCAUCUUCAAGCCCAUCUCCAUCAUAGAUCUUCUCCAAACACCUGGAUGGCAUCUUCAAGCCCAUCUCCGACAAAAGUCCCUCCUUCAGCUAGGGCAAAUUUCUUAGUAUUCUAGUGUUCAAUCAUCUUCCACCUUCAGAUACCGACUGGCAUACAAACCACUCUACAUCUUCAGGUUUAAGAUAAUUGAACAGGGGCAGCUGUCAUACCCCAAAAUUUGCCCUCAUAUAUUUACAAACGCCAUUUUAUUUCGAAUAAAUGAAUUGGCACAGUUGGUAAGGAUUUGAGUAUGAAUGGUACAAUAGCGCGAGGUCCCGUGUUUGAGUCCCACUACUAACAAUUUUUUAUGUUAUUUGUUACUAACUUAAUUUUCGUUUUAAAUUACUUUUUCUAAAAAUCACAAAAAAUUGUUUUUUUUAUUUGCAAUUGAUUUUCAUAGUUUUUUUUACUUUUUCCAUAAAAAAUAGAAAGAUUUUAAAUUCUACACCCUUUUUUACAUUUUAGGUUAGUUUUUUAAUUGGUUAAAUAUAAUCAUAAAAACUCAAUGAGAAUAAUUCCUUCUAUUUGGGCUUUUAGUUAUUUUUAAUUAAUUUUGGUCCAUCAAGUUUAACCUAAUUUUGUAUAUUAUAAAUAGGACAACCUUUACACAACUGAAAAAAGAGGAACGAACCCUUAUUUUUCCAAAUCUCACGAACAAAAAGAACACAGUCUGUACAUAUUUUCUCACAUACUAACAUACACGUAUUGUUGUUAACCCUUGAUUUGAACCUUUCAUCAUCCUCACUAACCUCUGUUCAUAGAAUACAAACCAACUCCACCUAUUCUCUACACAAUAAAAAAGCAAGAGAUAUCCACAUUCUUUUUUUUCUAAUUUCUAACAAACAUUACUGAUUUCAGUUCUAUCAUUAACCUUUUUAUUAUGAAUUUCUCUUCAUUACUAACACCUUAAUACUUUGAAUUUUAGUUUGUUCCCUUUUUGCAGAUUAAAGAUGGUACGCAUACAGAGAACAACAUUGUUUUGUUCAUCACCGCACAACCGAGUCGCUGGAGCGCCGCCCAUCAUCACUGCUGUCGAAAUCAUUUGUUGCGGCUGAAGCAACCACCGCCAAACUAUCAUCUUCAUCACUAUAUUUUUUAUCACUAACAACUUACCAAUCCACUUUUCAGGCAUAGUAUUUUUUGCAGGAGAAUAGUCAUUGUAUUUGGAUCCAAAAGAUCAACAAAAUUGCAAGCAGAGUGAAAGAGGAAAUCAAAUCAUAUGAGCGUCGUUGUUUCCCAAUACCGGAUGCCGAGGUUACGACCAUCUCCGCUCUGAUAACGGCCAGCCUUCACCGGAGAUAAUCUCAGCCAUCGGAAUCCUACGACGAAGCUUCUCCGUCGAAGCUGCACCAGCCACGCACUCCGAUUCAGAUCUCGGCCGCCUCCGCGACCACGCUCAGGCCGCAACCACCUCCGACCACGCAAGACCUCCGCUCCGACGAGAAAGCGCUGCGCCGGGAAGCAAACCGUCGACGUAUCUCCACCACGCCAUCCGCACCGCUCAGCCGCACCUCCUCCAACAACCUCAAAUCACCGCUUGCGAAGUAUAACGGAGGAACACGCUUCACGACCGCCACAGGUUUUCUUACCUUUUUCUCUUUUAUAUUUUUCAUUGUUGUGAUAAUUUGUGCUUUCUGUUUGGUCUUAAGUUGAAACUACCAUGGUUGUUGUUAUUUGUUGAAAUAAAAGUGAGUUGAGAGGAAUUUGACUUUGUGUUUCUUUCCUAUGUUAUAAACGUGUGGGAGAGAAAGAGUCUUAGGCCUCAAUGUGUGAGUGUAUGCUAAUUAUUUUCAACUAUUUUAUUUUAUUUUAUUCUUAAAUCAUGUGCCACGUGUUUCGAUUCGAUUGGCUACAGCAUGGGUUGAAAAGUCAAAAAUAUGGAAAAGAGGGAUGUACCGCCUCUGGUGGUUUCUAAUGUCAUGUUUCAUUAUUUCUAUUCAUUAUUUGGUAAUUUACUUAUUAAAACAUUAAAAAAUAUAUAUCUAAAAUACUAAAAAAUCAAAUAUAAUAAACUAACCAGAAAACUAACGUAUUAGUUUUUCUCCUAAAUUUACUUAAUAAACUUUAAUUUAGUUAAGACAUUUAAUUUAGUUAUCACUUAAUCAUAAUAAAAAUAUGAAAAUUAGGAUUUAGGAUUUAGUUAAUUAAUUUUGAUAUAGUUCUUUAACAACCUUAAUUAGAAUUUAAUUUUUUAGGUUUAGUAAUUAACCUUAACUCAAAAAACCUUAAGGUAGGUGUUUCCCAUUAACCAUAGGUCUAGGUUUACCUUUCUCUUCUUCAUUCUUAAUUUUCAGGGUUACUCUUCAAAUACACUCCGACAUUCCGACUAUGCGUCACGCCCUUCCCGAAGCUAAGUACCCUAUUUAUUUUUAAAAGUCUAUUUUGUUUCCUUUUGAUUUUAGGGUUUGCCCUUAACCUUUCUUGAACUGUGCAUACAUUCACCUAUUACUUUGCCUUUGCCAUUUUCAGGGUUAACCCCGAGGCUUACCGCCAACCAUGUCAGAUCAAAUUCAAAGCUAAGUACUUAUAUGUUAUUGAUUUUGAAUUUCUUUACCUUUUCAUUUUUAGGGUUAUCAAUGUUUGCCUCCGAACCGAUAAUGCACUCACCCUAUUUUGCUUUCUGUUUUUUCACUUUUUUCAGGGUUUGCCAAUUGUCAAAGCUUCGAAUACCGGUAACCCUAAAACUUUACUCUAAUUAUUACUUAUGUCAAACCCUAUUAAGGGAUCCGCUGGUUACAAUUUCCCUCCCCCUUUAUUGCUUUAUAUACUGUGUGGUUAGUAAUUUAGGGAGUGCAAAUUUAAACUGGAUUAGAGUCACUAAUUACAAGAUAAAUAACUGAAUUGAACCACAUGAAUGAUUGAUGCACACACGCACUCUUUUGGGGUAACCUCUCUGUUGCCUUGUUGCCUGUUGCCUUUGUGUUUUUUUGCAGAAUAAGCCAUGUCCCUCGAAUACGAGGAUACCUCAGCCAUGCUGCCUCGAUAAAUAAAGGUCAUGCGACCCUAAAUGAUGCUGCCUUCGAUACACAAAUAUGACCUCGACCCUCGGAAGUUGCCUACGGAAAGGCUGAGGUAUCCUCUGGUUGCCUACGAAUAAGGCUUAUUCUGAUCCUUACCUUAGACUACCUGCCCUUCUAUGGCAUGGGACAGUCUUAUGGCAAAGGAUGUUUCGACGACCCUUUAACAUCCAAACGAAAGGCUUCCUGCCCUCUUAUGGCAAGGACUGAUCCUUUCAACCUGAAAGGCUAAAAAGAGACCUAUCAUCUGAGUUUAAGGUAAUUGCCCCUAAUUGCCUUGCCAUGCUCUAUUUUCUAUAUUCUUUCUCAAAAUUCUUCAAAAACUGGCUACGCUCAUUUACGAGCUAAAGUCCAUUUUUUCCUCUUUCAUCUAUAUUUUCUGAAAACGAGCAAGCAAAGCAAUUAAGAGCCCAUGGAAAACCAUGGAUGCAAAGGGUGCCUUACACCUUCCAUUUGCAUAAAUUACCCCCCGAACUUAGAUUUCUUUAAAAGGUUUUUUUCUGUUUCUUUUAGCCUUUCUGAAUUUGUUUGGAUAAAAUAAAAGUCGGUGGCGACUCUUGCUUUACCGCACAUUUC